RNAcentral lists this ribosomal RNA (496 nucleotides) under uncultured bacterium. RNAcentral describes it as "partial 16S ribosomal RNA". It matches the Rfam family "Bacterial small subunit ribosomal RNA", at positions 29 to 507 of the family's 1533-position model. The record is from RNAcentral.
AUGAACGCUGGCGGCGUGCCUCAUACAUGCAAGUCGAGCGAACGGACGAGAAGCUUGCUUCUCUGAUGUUAGCGGCGGACGGGUGGGUAACACGUGGAUAACCUACCUAUAAGACUGGGAUAACUUCGGGAAACCGUAGCUAAUACCGGAUAAUAUUUUGAACCGCAUGGUUCAAAAGUGAAAGACGGUCUUGCUGUCACUUAUAGAUGGAUCCGCGCUGCAUUAGCUAGUUGGUAAGGUAACGGCUUACCAAGGCAACGAUGCAUAGCCGACCUGAGAGGGUGAUCGGCCACACUGGAACUGAGACACGGUCCAGACUCCUACGGGAGGCAGCAGUAGGGAAUCUUCCGCAAUGGGCGAAAGCCUGACGGAGCAACGCCGCGUGAGUGAUGAAGGUCUUCGGAUCGUAAAACUCUGUUAUUAGGGAAGAACAUAUGUGUAAGUAACUGUGCACAUCUUGACGGUACCUAAUCAGAAAGCCACGGCUAACUACGUG